AUGAACGGCAGGGAAGCUCCGCCAUCGUGGUCCACUCAUCGGCACGCCGUGGGCGGCCUCAUUGUCCCCUCCGGUUUUGACAUCGCUGCGUCCAGCUCCGAGAGCCGCCGUUCCCCCGUGGUCAACAUUACCCGCGUCCUCAAUGAGGAGGCCUCGGGGCCGACGAGCGCGGCGUCGGCAUCACCAUCUUCGUCCCCACCGACGACGCCUUGGCGGGCCUACCGACCACCUCCAGUCCCUCCCUGCCGACCGCAAGGCUGUCGUGCUGCGCUUCCACGUGCUCUGCACUCCUACUACCCGCUCGGCUCCCUCGAGUCCAUCGUGAACCCCGUCCAUCCCACGCUCGCCAUCGAGUGCACUGAGGCCGGCCGCUUCACGCUCAACUCACACGAUUCAGAACUGUGUAUAUGCUGUGUGUAUGCACUAUUGUACAGUGCUGCGUGUGCGCAUUGA
RNAcentral lists this ribosomal RNA (453 nucleotides) under Triticum aestivum (bread wheat). RNAcentral's name for it is "partial small subunit ribosomal RNA". Lineage: Eukaryota; Viridiplantae; Streptophyta; Magnoliopsida; Poales; Poaceae. The record is from RNAcentral.